Molecule: ribosomal RNA, 162 nt
Filed under: uncultured bacterium
Lineage: Bacteria
Description: partial 16S rRNA
Rfam family: Bacterial small subunit ribosomal RNA
Source: RNAcentral
UGGGGAAUAUUGCACAAUGGGCGCAAGCCUGAUGCAGCCAUGCCGCGUGUAUGAAGAAGGCCUUGGGUUGUAAAGUACUUUCAGCGGGGAGGAAGGCGGUGAGGUUAAUAACCUUGCCGAUUGACGUUACCCGCAGAAGAAGCACCGGCUAACUCCGUGCCA